AUCCGGUUGAUCCUGCCGGACCUGACUGCUAUCGGAUUGAUACUAAGCCAUGCUAGUCUUUGUAGUAAUACAAGGCAUACGGCUCAGUAACGCGUAGUCAACCUACCCUAUGGACGGGGAUAAUCUCGGGAAACUGAGCAUAAUACCCGGCAGACCACUUAUCCUGGAAUGGUUAGUGGUUAAAAUGAUUCGUCGCCAUAGGAUGGGACUGCGGCCUAUCAGCUUGUUGGUGAGGUAAUGGCCCACCAAGGCGAUUACAGGUACGGGCUCUGAGAGGAGAAGCCCGGAGAUGGGUACUGAGA
RNAcentral lists this ribosomal RNA (302 nucleotides) under uncultured archaeon. Its description in RNAcentral is "bacterial SSU rRNA". It matches the Rfam family "Archaeal small subunit ribosomal RNA", at positions 1 to 308 of the family's 1478-position model. The record is from RNAcentral.